RNAcentral lists this ribosomal RNA (205 nucleotides) under uncultured bacterium. RNAcentral describes it as "partial 16S ribosomal RNA". It matches the Rfam family "Bacterial small subunit ribosomal RNA", at positions 568 to 774 of the family's 1533-position model. The record is from RNAcentral.
UGCGUAGGCGGAAUAGUAAGUCAGGGGUGAAAGUUUGCGGCUCAACCGUAAAUUGCCUUUGAUACUGUUAUUCUUGAGCACAUUUGAGGUAGGCGGAAUGUGUUGUGUAGCGGUGAAAUGCUUAGAUAUAACACAGAACACCGAUUGCGAAGGCAGCUUACUAAACUGUAACUGACGCUGAUGCACGAAAGCGUGGGAUCGAACA